RNAcentral lists this ribosomal RNA (161 nucleotides) under uncultured bacterium. RNAcentral describes it as "partial 16S ribosomal RNA". It matches the Rfam family "Bacterial small subunit ribosomal RNA", at positions 1340 to 1500 of the family's 1533-position model. The record is from RNAcentral.
AAUCGCGGAUCAGAAUGCCGCGGUGAAUACGUUCCCGGGUCUUGUACACACCGCCCGUCACACCAUGGGAGUCGGAAAUGCCCGAAGUCUGUGACCCAACCUACGGGAGGGAGCAGCCGAAGGCAGGUCGGAUGACUGGGGUGAAGUCGUAACAAGGUAUC